UGAAGAAGGCCUUCGGGUUGUAAAGUUCUUUCGUGGAGGACGAAAAGGUGGGUGCUAAUAUCGCCUGCUGUUGACGUGAAUCCAAGAAGAAGCACCGGCUAACUCCGUGCCAGCAGCCGCGGUAAUACGGGGGGUGCAAGCGUUAAUCGGAAUCACUGGGCGUAAAGGGUGCGUAGGCGGUGCAUUAGGUCUGUCGUGAAAUCCCCGGGCUCAACCUGGGAAUGGCGGUGGAAACCGGUGUACUAGAGUAUGGGAGAGGGUGGUGGAAUUCCAGGUGUAGCGGUGAAAUGCGUAGAGAUCUGGAGGAACAUCAGUGGCGAAGGCGGCCACCUGGCCCAAUACUGACGCUGAGGCACGAAAGCGUGGGGAGCAAACAGGAUUAGAUACCCUGGUAGUCCACGCCCUAAACGAUGAAUACUAGAUGUUUGGUGCCACGCGUACUGAGUGUCGUAGCUAACGCGAUAAGUAUUCCGCCUGGGAAGUACGGCCGCAAGGUUAAAACUCAAAUGAAUUGACUGUANUUCUUA
This 527-nucleotide ribosomal RNA is filed under the name uncultured bacterium. RNAcentral describes it as "bacterial SSU rRNA". It matches the Rfam family "Bacterial small subunit ribosomal RNA", at positions 406 to 925 of the family's 1533-position model. The record is from RNAcentral.